GAAUAUUGGACAAUGGGGGGAACCCUGACCCAGCCAUGCCGCGUGUGUGAAGAAGGCCUUUUGGUUGUAAAGCACUUUAAGCGAGGAGGAGGCUACUUAGAUUACUACUCUAUGAUAGUCGACGUUACUCGCAGAAUACGCACCGCCUAACUACGUGCCAGCAGCUGCGGUAAUACAGAGGGUGCAAGCUUUAAUCGGAUUUACUGGACGUAAAGCGCGCGUAGGUGGCCAAUUAAGUCAAAUGUGAAAUCCCCGAGCUUAACUUGGGAAUUGCAUUCGAUACUGGUUGGCUAGAGUAUGGGAGAGGAUGGUAGAAUUCCAGGUGUAGCGGUGAAAUGCGUAGAGAUCUGGAGGAAUACCGAUGGCGAAGGCAGCCAUCUGGCCUAAUACUGACACUGAGGUGCGAAAGCAUGGGGAGCAAACA
Molecule: ribosomal RNA, 424 nt
Filed under: uncultured bacterium
Lineage: Bacteria
Description: partial 16S ribosomal RNA
Rfam family: Bacterial small subunit ribosomal RNA
Source: RNAcentral